Molecule: long non-coding RNA, 2818 nt
Organism: Clupea harengus (Atlantic herring)
Lineage: Eukaryota; Metazoa; Chordata; Actinopteri; Clupeiformes; Clupeidae
Source: Ensembl
AACGCUAGAAGUUGUCAUUAGUUAAAAAAAAAAAAAAAAAAAGUUGACGUUAACAAUUCGCUGAAUCUGACAAAAAGUGUAUGGGAUAAGAACCGCUGACUGUACCAUUUUACAUUUACAUUUAGUCAUUUAGCAGACGCUUUUAUCCAAAGCGACUUACAAGGAUGUAUACACAUUUUUACAUUUUACACUGAUGGCACACUGCACAUCAGGAGCAAUUAGGGGUUCAGGGUCUUGCUCAAGGACGCUUCGACAGGGAAUCGAACUAGCAACCUUCUGAUUACUAACCGACUGCUCUACCUCCUGUACAACUGCCGUACCAUUUAAUAGCUUGUAGGUUUGUGCAGCCUGCAUUCCAAUAACAUGCCGCUGUGAGCCCACAAUUCCCCUCAUACCCGGUCGGGUCCCCUUAGGUCCACUCAGGCCUGUGUAGAGCUUGAGCGAGAUGGUGUUUUUCUCAGGCCCGCUGUUGCAGUUAAUACCUUAAACAAGUAGCGAUAAGGAACACUGACAUAAACAUGUACAGAUGAAGACAUGUAAACACAAGAUUUGUUUUUGGUUGUGUUAGACGCAUUCUUUAUUUGUUAGUCAAAAGCACAAAAGGCCGCUAUACAGUACAUCUGCACAGAGAAGAUGGAAAACAUUGCCUCUUAAAAGUGUCAUUUUGAAAGAACUGGUCUUUUCUUUUUUUUUUUUUUUUUAAAGAACUACUCAAACUUACUCAACAAGACUGGAUAUUUGACAGUGACACAAGUAGUAACUGACAUAGCAAUAAACAAUCAUGAUAUUUCUCACAUUACAAGUUCAUUGACAAUACAGCUACAGCUCUUAUGUGUUUAGUACGUGAAGUGUGAAAGCACACAGACACACUCACAAACAAACAAACAAACAAACAAACAAAAAAAAAACCAAAUACACACUCUGUAAUGCAACGAUAGGUGAAUCUGACCUGUUUUACUGAAAACCCACAGAUAUCAGUGCUGGAAGGUCUGAAGAGAUUUUGCAACAGUGAUCGUAUUUCUACAUGGCUUAAUGCAAAUGGUAUUCAGCUGCUUUUUCUGAGUUUGGUGACAGCUUUGGCUACAUGCGAAAUAACAGGAACAAAAGACAAGCAGGUUUAGCGGCUCUACAAAGGUGGUGCUCCUAUGACCCAGGCUUUUCCCCCUGACAGCAUUGGAGUCCAGAAUGGACCAGGCAUCAGGUCCAGAAACACGGGCUCAGUUAAGACCGCCAUUUUACCAAUCUCCCUCUCUCCCCCGCUGAUCAUUGCCUUUACCAUCCCAGGUUAUGUUGGGCAUGGUUUUCGGUGGUUCUCAAGGUUCUUGGGUUCUCGACAACUGUCGGUACCUAGAGCAGCUGGAGAGGGCUGAUCUGGACCAGGCUCAUGCGGGACUCGGCCUGUUAUUCGGGUCGGAUGGGCCAAUCAGGAGGCACCACUAGGCAGUGGUUGAGCUGAAAUGCCGGGAAAGCUUGUGGCCCCCUCAUGACUUACAGUGUUGGUUCUGGUCACUUCCUUUUGUUGUGCUUGGUCUGGAAAUGGUGGCUGUUCGAUUGUCAUGUGUAAGGUGCAUACACUACUUGUCACCCGUGCACACUCAUAAAUACACACACACACACACACACAUACACACCCAUAGCUAAAGCACCCACACUCACACAACUUAAAUAUAAUAUACCUACAUAUCUGUAUACCAUGUAAUAUUUAUCUCAGUACAUAUUUAUCUCAGUGAGUUUUAUAUUUCAUAUAUAAUCUACAAGAUGAAAACAAGGAACAACUGUUUUAAACAAUAACAGCUCUAAUAGACGACGAGGCUUUGGACAACUAAAGAGGCAGAAGACACACCACUCGCCUCCAGGGGGCAGUAUGGGACCAGGACGAGGUUGAGGAGGAGUUGAGUGGAGGGCUUUAAGAGGGUGGGGGUGUGGGUGGGGGGGCAGGAUGCAGAAGGCAAACCUGCUAAAAGUGGCACUCCCUAAGACGACGCAGUGGAGGGGGUCGACGGCGCUAACAGGGCACAGAUGAAGAUGAGAGAUGAGAAGAAGACAGGCACAGACACUGACACAUGAUCCAAACCCUAGAGGUCUAACAGUAUGUACAUGAUCCAAACCCUAGAGGUCUAACAGUAUGUACAAAAACCCCACAGGGCAGCUGCUGUCACAAACGGGUCUGGCCCAGAGCCGUGUGGGAGUCAGCUGCCCUCAGAGAACACCCAACUCCCAAUUCAGUUCAGUUUAUUUUGGUUCAUUUAGAGAUGAUUGGAGAACACCCGACUCCCAAUUCAGUUCAGUUUAAUUUGGUUCAUUUAGAGAUGAUUGGAGAACACCCGACUCCCAAUUCAGUUCAGUUUAAUUUGGCUCAUUUAGAGAUGAUUGGAGAACACCCAACUCCCAAUUCAGUUCAGUUUAAUUUGGCUCAUUUAGAGAUGAUUGGAGAACACCCAACUCCCAAUUCAGUUCAGUUUAAUUUGGUUCAUUUAGAGAUGAUUGGAGAACACCCUACUGCCAAUUCAGUUCAGUUUAAUUUGGUUAAUUUAUAGAGCGCCGAUAACAAUAGGCGUUGUCUCAAAGUGCUUUACAGAGCCAAAGGCCUGACCUCCCCAAGACCCGACCCACCCUAACCCCCCCCUACCCCACCCCACCCUCAAUGACUAACUGAUUUUCGUCUUCUUCUUCUGUGAAGGACUUGAUUGUGUUUGAUUUUUAGAAGUAUCAUCAUCGUCUUCAGUGGUUCUGAGUGGUUCUGUGGCCAGCAGGUCCGGAUGAUGAGUCUGAAAGAUUGGGUAUAAACACACACACACACACACUCACACACACACAC